RNAcentral lists this ribosomal RNA (433 nucleotides) under uncultured bacterium. Its description in RNAcentral is "partial 16S ribosomal RNA". It matches the Rfam family "Bacterial small subunit ribosomal RNA", at positions 29 to 507 of the family's 1533-position model. The record is from RNAcentral.
AACGAACGCUGGCGGCAUGCCUAACACAUGCAAGUCGAACGAGACCUUCGGGUCUAGUGGCGCACGGGUGCGUAACACGUGGGAAUCUGCCCUUUGCUUCGGAAUAACAGUUAGAAAUGACUGCUAAUACCGGAUGAUGUCGAAAGACCAAAGAUUUAUCGGCAAAGGAUGAGCCCGCGUAGGAUUAGGUAGUUGGUGGGGUAAAGGCCUACCAAGCCGACGAUCCUUAGCUGGUCUGAGAGGAUGAUCAGCCACACUGGGACUGAGACACGGCCCAGACUGCUACGGGAGGCAGCAGUGGGGAAUAUUGGACAAUGGGCGAAAGCCUGAUCCAGCAAUGCCGCGUGAGUGAUGAAGGCCUUAGGGUUGUAAAGCUCUUUUACCAGGGAUGAUAAUGACAGUACCUGGAGAAUAAGCUCCGGCUAACUCCGUG